This 443-nucleotide ribosomal RNA is filed under the name uncultured bacterium. RNAcentral describes it as "partial 16S ribosomal RNA". It matches the Rfam family "Bacterial small subunit ribosomal RNA", at positions 338 to 795 of the family's 1533-position model. The record is from RNAcentral.
CCUACGGGUGGCAGCAGUGGGGGAUAUUGGACAAUGGGGGGAACCCUGAUCCAGCGACGCCGCGUGAGGGAAGAAGUAUUUCGGUAUGUAAAGCUCUGUCAGCAGGGAAGAAAGCAAUGACGGUACCUUACCAAGAAGCCCCGGCUAACUACGUGCCAGCAGCGGCGGUAAUAGGUAGGGGGCAGGCGUUAUCCGGAAUUACUGGGUGUAAGGGGAGCGUAGACGGCUGUGCAAGUCUGGAGUGAAAGGCGGGGGCCCAACCCCCGGACUGCUCUGGAAACUGUAUGGCUGGAGUGCAGGAGAGGUAAGCGGAAGUCCUAGGGUAGCGGUGAAAUGCGUAGAUAUUAGGAGGAACACCAGUGGCGAAGGCGGCUUACUGGACUGUAACUGACGUUGAGGCUCGAAAGCGUGGGGAGCAAACAGGAUUAGAUACCCCUGUAGUC